Molecule: long non-coding RNA, 494 nt
Organism: Phacochoerus africanus (Common warthog)
Lineage: Eukaryota; Metazoa; Chordata; Mammalia; Artiodactyla; Suidae
Exons: 3
Source: RefSeq, a predicted model, not a curated record
CCGCCUACAGACUCCCACUCGGGGCUCUUCUAGGCCUCAGUCUCUAUGGUAACUCUUUUUGGUAAGACCCUGCGCUUGCAGGGCCAUCUUUCGUUUGGGCAACUGCUCAUUAGGACACCCGUGAAAAAAGGAAUUGGUGCACUCAAUUAUGGAGUCUGAAAAGUCUUACAAUAUGCAGUCUGCAAGUUGGACACCCUGAAAAGCUGGUGGCGUAAUUCAGCCUGAGUCUGAAGGCUUGAGAACCUGGGGAGAAGAUGGUAUAUAUCCAGUGUAACUACAGGAGGAGAACACUGCUCCAGCCCAGCAGUCAGCCUCUUUGUGGACCAGCUCCUGUUGGAUCAAGGGUCCUGAAAAGCCCAACCAUUUGCUUCCUCAUUGGUGUUAUACCCGGCAACAGUCCAGCAAGCUUCUGGAUCCUAGGGUAGCUGCCAUCACUGUUCACAUGCAACCACCUCUUCCUGAUUCUCUCUGAAGAUUGCUGAAGGUCAAGCUUG